Molecule: long non-coding RNA, 512 nt
Organism: Bos taurus (domestic cattle)
Lineage: Eukaryota; Metazoa; Chordata; Mammalia; Artiodactyla; Bovidae
Source: Ensembl
GUAAGGGAUGAUGGGGGUGGAUUUGGUGUGGGGGUAGUCAGAAUAGAGACUAUUGACUUUAAUUCCAACGUGUUGGUACGUUUUACUUGAAACAUGCGAUUUAGAUCUCUCAGUCAGCAAAAACAAGGAAGGGAUUGCUGCUGAUGGAUUAAAUGGGACCUGGCUCGUACUGCACCUCACCUGUAGCAGUUACCUCUCUUCCUCCCACCACAGCAGUGAAAAGGAAUGACCUAAAUGGAGGUGGAUGGAUGGAUGGCCUUCCCGCUCCUGUACCUCAGUGGUGUAAUAUAUCUACUCACCCAAGAUUUGAAUUUCAAACGUGGACAACAAGAGGCCGAAUUUCUACACUAAAGAAGACAGGUUCUUUACCACUAGCACUACCUGAGAAGCCCUGGUUUGAGGCUGGCGAGACAUAUGCAUCUGUUGACAGAGCCAAUCAUGGGAAGCAGAGUCAGCGGGCUUUGGACCACUCAGAGGCUAAUUGAGAAAAAGCUGUAAUUGUGGAGACAGCA